RNAcentral lists this transfer RNA (63 nucleotides) under Cymbium olla (pot-bellied volute). Its description in RNAcentral is "tRNA-His". Lineage: Eukaryota; Metazoa; Mollusca; Gastropoda; Neogastropoda; Volutidae. The record is from RNAcentral.
UUGAGUUAGUUUAGCUAAGAACAUCAAGCUGUGGAUUUGAAGGUAAAAUAAUCUUACUCAACU